Molecule: long non-coding RNA, 763 nt
Organism: Pleuronectes platessa (European plaice)
Lineage: Eukaryota; Metazoa; Chordata; Actinopteri; Pleuronectiformes; Pleuronectidae
Exons: 3
Source: RefSeq, a predicted model, not a curated record
UCCACUGCUGCUGCUCAGGGGGAGCCUCUUCUUUAUUCACCAUCAGUUGCUGGACGUCUGCAGGACACACUGAAACACAAAUACAUACGUUUAUCAUUUCAGAGUUUCCUGAUGUGUUUUGAAAAACUUGUGUCGUGUCUUGUAAUAUUGACUUUUAUGAUUUUUGAACGAUCACAUUCAGGAAGUAACGAUGUUGAGGUCGUUUACAGUUUGUGUUACGACGCAGCUCGUAAAGGAAGCAGCAUAAAACAAAGAGUUUCUGGUAAAAAAGUGUUUCAUUUUGAGGCCAAAUAAACCAAUUAGGUCACUAACAGAGGAGAACAGGGCGAGGGAAAGUUAGUUCUUUGGUUAAGCUGCUUUCAGACAAGACCUGUGAGUAAAACUCAGAGAAAUGUGUCCAGACUUUCUGUUUCAGACAUGAGCAACACAGCAGCAGGUUUUCUGCACAGACUCGUUCACAACAGCAUCAAAUCCUCCUCAUUAUUCUGCAGAAAGUCUUCAGUGGCAGCGCUGAUCCGCUCUUGUACCGACGCCCGCAGCAGCUGCACUGCGGACAUGUUCCUCCUCUCUGCGCACAGCGAGUCUCUGAGAAAACAAAGAGAGCAAGCGGCAGGAAACUAGAGACUCCGAGCUCCGAGCCAGCAGUGACCCCUGUUGGACUGGAGGACGAAGAGUUAGAGCACACUCGUGAAGAACCCCAGAAGGCCACCGAGGAAGAGAACUCACUGAGGAACAGAUGUGUUUUUCUGGAAGAGAAACAGAU